GAGGAGCUCGCGGCGGAUUAGCUUGUUGGUGAGGUAACGGCUCACCAAGGCGACGAUCCGUAGCUGGUCUGAGAGGACGAUCAGCCACACUGGGACUGAGACACGGCCCAGACUCCUACGGGAGGCAGCAGUGGGGAAUCUUGCGCAAUGGGCGAAAGCCUGACGCAGCGACGCCGCGUGGGGGAAGAAGGCCUUCGGGUUGUAAACCCCUUUCAGGAGGGACGAAGCCACUCGGGUUAAUAGCCCAGAGGGUGACGGUACCUCCAGAAGAAGCCCCGGCUAACUACGUGCCAGCAGCCGCGGUAAGACGUAGGGGGCCAGCGUUGCUCGGAAUUACUGGGCGUAAAGGGUCCGUAGGCGGUGCGGCAAGUCGGGGGUGAAAUCUCUGGGCUUAACUCAGAGGCUGCCUCCGAAACUGCCGUGCUCGAGUGCGGGAGAGGCGAGCGGAAUUGCAGGUGUAGCGGUGAAAUGCGUAGAUAUCUGCAGG
Molecule: ribosomal RNA, 487 nt
Filed under: uncultured Acidobacteriota bacterium
Lineage: Bacteria; Pseudomonadati; Acidobacteriota
Description: bacterial SSU rRNA
Rfam family: Bacterial small subunit ribosomal RNA
Source: RNAcentral